UUAUACGCACUUCCAAAAAAACUUCGCAAGUCACAGAAACAAUUCAGAAUUCAACUAAGAAAAUACAGAGUGAACCAUAUGGCCUGGGUGGCUCGAGUCGGCUGCAUUUUACUCCAGACAAAGAAGGGAUUGAGAGUUGAAGGAAAGGAGAAAAAAACCAACUUUCCGGCUGAUGAAGCUGUUGUCUGGAGGCAAUGAUCCCAAAUCUGAAGGCUUUAUUCCGGCUCCGACGGAGACGUGAUAUGUCAUAUGAUUAGCAUCUUUCAUAUUUACAAGAGUGGUUGCAGUGAGUGGCCAAGGAGGCAGCGUUUUCCGGAGUGCUUUCUCAUAGGCUUAUCUGUGGCUGAUACCUGAUGAAAACUGAAGAAGUAGGAACUACCUCUUAUGGAGGGGAAGCAGACCUACAGUGGGCCAGGCCCUGUACCAGUCAGCUUGCUUAGAGUAUGCCAGCACAUAAAAGCAAGUCUCGGACUUCCCUGGUGGCGCAGUGGUUAAGAAUUGGCCUGCCAACGCAGGGGACACGGGUUCAAGCCCCAGUCUGAGAAGAUCCCACAUGCUGCAGAGCAACUAAGCCCGUACGCCACAACUACUGAGCCCACGUGCCACAACUGCUGAAGCCCACGCCUCGAGCCCAUGCUCCGCAACAAGAGAAGCCACCACAAUGAGAAGCCUGCGCACCUCAACAAAGAGUAACCCCCGUUCGCCGCAACUAGAGAAAGCCCGGGCGCAACAACGAAGACCCAACGCAGCUG
Molecule: long non-coding RNA, 752 nt
Filed under: Phocoena sinus (vaquita)
Lineage: Eukaryota; Metazoa; Chordata; Mammalia; Artiodactyla; Phocoenidae
Description: lncRNA (ENSPSNG00000004484.1)
Source: RNAcentral